Molecule: ribosomal RNA, 465 nt
Filed under: uncultured bacterium
Lineage: Bacteria
Description: partial 16S ribosomal RNA
Rfam family: Bacterial small subunit ribosomal RNA
Source: RNAcentral
CUACGGGACGCAGCAGUGAGGAAUAUUGCGCAAUGGAGGAAACUCUGACGCAGCAACGCCGCGUGGGUGAAGAAGGCCCUCGGGUUGUAAAGCCCUGUCAGGUGGGAAGAAACCUUCCUGAGUUAAUAGCUCAGGGAACUGACGGUACCACCAAAGGAAGCACCGGCUAACUCCGUGCCAGCAGCCGCGGUAAGACGGAGGGUGCAAGCGUUGUUCGGAAUCACUGGGCGUAAAGCGCGUGUAGGCGGUUCGAUUAGUCGAGUGUGAAAGCCCGAGGCUCAACUUCGGAAGCGCAUUCGAAACUGUCGGGCUUGAGUACGGGAGAGGGAAGUGGAAUUCCUGGUGUAGAGGUGAAAUUCGUAGAUAUCAGGAGGAACACCGGUGGCGAAGGCGGCUUCCUGGACCGAUACUGACGCUGAGACGCGAAAGCGUGGGGAGCAAACAGGAUUAGAUACCCGGGUAGUC